This 83-nucleotide transfer RNA is filed under the name Opitutia bacterium. Its description in RNAcentral is "tRNA-Leu". It matches the Rfam family "tRNA". From Rfam's summary of the family: Transfer RNA (tRNA) molecules are approximately 80 nucleotides in length. Their secondary structure includes four short double-helical elements and three loops (D, anti-codon, and T loops). Further hydrogen bonds mediate the characteristic L-shaped molecular structure. tRNAs have two regions of fundamental functional importance: the anti-codon, which is responsible for specific mRNA codon recognition, and the 3' end, to which the tRNAs corresponding amino acid is attached (by aminoacyl-tRNA synthetases). tRNAs cope with the degeneracy of the genetic code in two manners: having more than one tRNA (with a specific anti-codon) for a particular amino acid; and 'wobble' base-pairing, i.e. permitting non-standard base-pairing at the 3rd anti-codon position. RNAcentral also lists the same sequence under 1 other name. The record is from RNAcentral. Lineage: Bacteria; Pseudomonadati; Verrucomicrobiota; Opitutia.
GCCCGAGUGGCGGAAUGGUAGACGCUGCGGACUUAAAAUCCGUUGCCAGUAAUGGCGUGAGGGUUCAAGUCCCUCCUCGGGCA